AGAGUUUGAUCCUGGCUCAGAAUCAACGCUGGCGGCGUGCCUAACACAUGCAAGUCGAACGCGAAAGUCCCGCAAGGGAUGAGUAGAGUGGCAAACGGGUGAGUAACACGUGGGUGACCUGCCUUCGAGCGGGGGAUAACGUCCCGAAAGGGACGCUAAUACCGCAUGACAUCCUGCCUUUGAAGAGGCGGAGAUCAAAGCUGGGGAUCGCAAGACCUAGCACUUGAAGAGGGGCCCGCGCCUGAUUAGCUAGUUGGUGGGGUAACGGCUCACCAAGGCAACGAUCAGUAUCCGGCCUGAGAGGGCGGACGGACACACUGGGACUGAGACACGGCCCAGACUCCUACGGGAGGCAGCAGUGGGGAAUUGUUCGCAAUGGGCGCAAGCCUGACGACGCAACGCCGCGUGGAGGAUGAAGACCUUCGGGUCGUAAACUCCUUUCGAUCGAGACGAAUGGCUUCCGGGUGAAUAACCCGGGAGUAUGACGGUACCGAGAGAAGAG
This 502-nucleotide ribosomal RNA is filed under the name uncultured Acidobacteriaceae bacterium. RNAcentral describes it as "bacterial SSU rRNA". It matches the Rfam family "Bacterial small subunit ribosomal RNA", at positions 8 to 489 of the family's 1533-position model. The record is from RNAcentral. Lineage: Bacteria; Pseudomonadati; Acidobacteriota; Terriglobia; Terriglobales; Acidobacteriaceae.